This 497-nucleotide ribosomal RNA is filed under the name uncultured bacterium. RNAcentral describes it as "partial 16S ribosomal RNA". It matches the Rfam family "Bacterial small subunit ribosomal RNA", at positions 28 to 507 of the family's 1533-position model. The record is from RNAcentral.
GAUGAACGCUGGCGGCGUGCCUAAUACAUGCAAGUCGAGCGAACGGACGAGAAGCUUGCUUCUCUGAUGUUAGCGGCGGACGGGUGAGUAACACGUGGAUAACCUACCUAUAAGACUGGGAUAACUUCGGGAAACCGGAGCUAAUACCGGAUAAUAUUUUGAACCGCAUGGUUCAAAAGUGAAAGACGGUCUUGCUGUCACUUAUAGAUGGAUCCGCGCUGCAUUAGCUAGUUGGUAAGGUAACGGCUUACCAAGGCAACGAUGCAUAGCCGACCUGAGAGGGUGUUCGGCCACCCUGGAACUGAGACACGGUCCAGACUCCUACGGGAGGCAGCAGUAGGGAAUCUUCCGCAAUGGGCGAAAGCCUGACGGAGCAACGCCGCGUGAGUGAUGAAGGUCUUCGGAUCGUAAAACUCUGUUAUUAGGGAAGAACAUAUGUGUAAGUAACUGUGCACAUCUUGACGGUACCUAAUCAGAAAGCCACGGCUAACUACGUG